Molecule: ribosomal RNA, 566 nt
Filed under: Shigella sonnei
Lineage: Bacteria; Pseudomonadati; Pseudomonadota; Gammaproteobacteria; Enterobacterales; Enterobacteriaceae
Description: partial 23S ribosomal RNA
Rfam family: Bacterial large subunit ribosomal RNA
Source: RNAcentral
GGCGUGCGAUACAGGGUGACAGCCCCGUACACAAAAAUGCACAUAUUGUGAGCUUGAUGAGUAGGGCGGGACACGUGGUAUCCUGUCUGAAUAUGGGGGGACCAUCCUCCAAGGCUAAAUACUCCUGACUGACCGAUAGUGAACCAGUACCGUGAGGGAAAGGCGAAAAGAACCCCGGCGAGGGGAGUGAAAAAGAACCUGAAACCGUGUACGUACAAGCAGUGGGAGCACGCUUAGGCGUGUGACUGCGUACCUUUUGUAUAAUGGGUCAGCGACUUAUAUUCUGUAGCAAGGUUAACCGAAUAGGGGAGCCGAAGGGAAACCGAGUCUUAACUGGGCGUUAAGUUGCAGGGUAUAGACCCGAAACCCGGUGAUCUAGCCAUGGGCAGGUUGAAGGUUGGGUAACACUAACUGGAGGACCGAACCGACUAAUGUUGAAAAAUUAGCGGAUGACUUGUGGCUGGGGGUGAAAGGCCAAUCAAACCGGGAGAUAGCUGGUUCUCCCCGAAAGCUAUUUAGGUAGCGCCUCGUGAAUUCAUCUCCGGGGGUAGAGCACUGUUUCGGCA